CACGAAGUUAGCCGGGGCUUCUUCUCACGCUACCGUCAUCAUCGUCGCGUGCGAAAGAGCUUUACAACCCGAAGGCCUUCAUCACUCACGCGGCAUUGCUGGAUCAGGCUUGCGCCCCAUUGUCCAAUAUUCCCCACUGCUGCCUCCCGUAGGAGUCUGGGCCGUGUCUCAGUCCCAGUGUGGCUGAUCAUCCUCUCAGACCAGCUAAGGAUCGUUGCCUUGGUAGGCCGUUACCCCACCAACAAGCUAAUCCUACGCGGGCCCAUCCCAUGGCGAUAAAUCUUUGUCCCUCAAGACACAUACGGUAUUACGCUUCCAGUUUCCCGGAGUUAUUCCGUACCACAGGGCAGGUUCCCACGCGUUACUCACCCGUGCCGCCACUAGGGCCCGAAGCCCCUCGUUCGACUUGCAUGUGUUAGGCAUGCCGCCAGCCGUUCGUUCUGAGUCCAGGAUCCGUAAACUCU
This 464-nucleotide ribosomal RNA is filed under the name uncultured Skermanella sp. RNAcentral describes it as "partial 16S ribosomal RNA". Lineage: Bacteria; Pseudomonadati; Pseudomonadota; Alphaproteobacteria; Rhodospirillales; Azospirillaceae. The record is from RNAcentral.